Unclassified non-coding RNA from Pteropus vampyrus (large flying fox), 321 nucleotides. Its record names the gene 7SK. It matches the Rfam family "7SK RNA". Rfam says of the family: 7SK was discovered as an abundant small nuclear RNA in the mid-70s but a possible function has only recently been suggested. Lineage: Eukaryota; Metazoa; Chordata; Mammalia; Chiroptera; Pteropodidae. The record is from Ensembl.
GGACGUGAAGGAAAUCUGGCUGUGACAUCUGUCCCCCAUCAAUUACCAGCAUUGAUUCAGCUGAUCUGGCUGGCUAGGCAGGUGUCUCCUUUCUCCCUCACAGCUCCAUGAGCAUCCUGCCUGAAGGUGCACACUGAGAAGAAGAGACCUUCUCCAGUAGAGGAGAGGACCAUUCUUCGGUCAAGGGCAUAUAAGUAGCUGUGCUUCCUUGCUAGAACCUCCAAACAAGCUCUCAAGAAUUUGAAAACAAAAUAUGACGAUUAUGUUCUCUCCUACCAAAAUAAUCAAUAAUAUAAUUCUAGUCAAAUCUUUAUAGGAAUU